GCGCCCUUAGCUCAGUCGGUAGAGCAUCUGACUUUUAAUCAGGUGGUCGUUGGUUCGAAUCCAACAGGGCGCACCA
Molecule: transfer RNA, 76 nt
Filed under: Olavius algarvensis Gamma 1 endosymbiont
Lineage: Bacteria; Pseudomonadati; Pseudomonadota; Gammaproteobacteria
Also listed under: 3 other names
Rfam family: tRNA
About the family: Transfer RNA (tRNA) molecules are approximately 80 nucleotides in length. Their secondary structure includes four short double-helical elements and three loops (D, anti-codon, and T loops).
Source: RNAcentral